UACGGAGGGUGCAAGCGUUGAUCGGAAUCAUUGGGCGUAAAGCGCGCGUAGGCGGCUGUCCAAGUCCGCUCUGAAAGCCCGGGGCUCAACCCCGGGAGGCGGGUGGAUACUGGUCGGCUCGAGUCCGGAAGAGGAGUGUGGAAUUCCUGGUGUAGCGGUGAAAUGCGCAGAUAUCAGGAGGAACACCGAUGGCGAAGGCAGCACUCUGGGACGGUACUGACGCUGAGACGCGAAAGCGUGGGGAGCAAACAGG
Molecule: ribosomal RNA, 253 nt
Filed under: uncultured bacterium
Lineage: Bacteria
Description: partial 16S ribosomal RNA
Rfam family: Bacterial small subunit ribosomal RNA
Source: RNAcentral